This 22-nucleotide ribosomal RNA is filed under the name Rhizomnium appalachianum. RNAcentral describes it as "partial 28S ribosomal RNA". The record is from RNAcentral. Lineage: Eukaryota; Viridiplantae; Streptophyta; Bryopsida; Bryales; Mniaceae.
AGACCUCUAAUCGGAAAAGACC